This 90-nucleotide transfer RNA is filed under the name bacterium. RNAcentral's name for it is "tRNA-Ser". It matches the Rfam family "tRNA". From Rfam's summary of the family: Transfer RNA (tRNA) molecules are approximately 80 nucleotides in length. The record is from RNAcentral. RNAcentral also lists the same sequence under 4 other names.
GGAGAGGUCGCAUAGUGGCCUAGUGCGCACGCUUGGAAAGCGUGUAAACCUGUAAGGGUUUCGGGGGUUCGAAUCCCCCCCUCUCCGCCA